Molecule: ribosomal RNA, 253 nt
Filed under: uncultured bacterium
Lineage: Bacteria
Description: partial 16S ribosomal RNA
Rfam family: Bacterial small subunit ribosomal RNA
Source: RNAcentral
UACGGGGGGGGCAAGCGUUGUUCGGAAUUACUGGGCGUAAAGGGCUCGUAGGCGGCCAACUAAGUCAGACGUGAAAUCCCUCGGCUUAACCGGGGAACUGCGUCUGAUACUGGAUGGCUUGAGUUUGGGAGAGGGAUGCGGAAUUCCAGGUGUAGCGGUGAAAUGCGCAGAUAUCGGGAGGAACACCGGUGGCGAAGGCGGUUCUCUGGGCCUGUACUGACGCUGAGGAGCGAAAGCCAGGGGAGCAAACGGG